GCGUCCGUGGUGUAAUGGUCAGCAUGCGCGCCUUCCAAGCACGCGAUAGGGGUUCGAUUCCCCUCGGACGCA
Non-coding RNA from Rhabditophanes sp. KR3021, 72 nucleotides. The record is from Rfam. NCBI's taxonomy places the organism in Eukaryota, Metazoa, Nematoda, Chromadorea, Rhabditida, Alloionematidae.